GGAGAUACCAUGAUCACGAAGGUGGUUUUCCCAGGGCGAGGCUUAUCCAUUGCACUCCGGAUGUGCUGACCCCUGCGAUUUCCCCAAAUGUGGGAAACUCGACUGCAUAAUUUGUGGUAGUGGGGGACUGCGUUCGCGCUUUCCCCUGGCUUCUUGUAGUCUGAAUGGAAGAGCUUGGACUUAGCUACGCUGUGAGGUGGUACGUUUCUGCUUCGCCCCCGCGGUACGGUCACGGUGCUGCUGUUGCCAUUGCGUUGUAGUUCUCGUACUAGCGCGUCCCGCAGAAAAGUAGAAGCGCGCUUCUCGGUUUUUGCUUGGUUUUGUUUUGUUUUUCUUUACCUCGUUUUUCGCCAACCAUAGCCCGCCUACUGCGGCAGCACGGAGAAGAUCUUUCCGGUCGCCUGAGAACGUGGUGAUAGGCGAGCACGUGAGAGUUUGCGGGGGCCAGGAGACGGCGCAGAAGUACAUCUUCGCUUCGUGGUCGUUUUCUUUUCUUUGCACAAGAUGGUCCCUAAAUGUUUCGUAAGUGCCACACCACGAGAGAGUAUUGGAACCAGUUUUUGGUUUGGUUUUGUUUUACGGGGAACCAGCAGCUGAGCUGUGGAAUACUUCCAUUGUUCUGGAGGUACAAAGUAGCAUCUUUCCUAAAGUAUGCCCUUGAGGGAGUAACCUACAUUCUUCACCUUCUUUGUGUGUUUUGUGACAAGGUCCUUCCUUGGAUAGUGCGGUCAACUCAUUUAUGUGUGUUUUUGUUAAGCACCCUGCCCCACACUAAUAUGUAACUUGCUGCUUCCACUCUACCCCCACCCCAACAGACACCGUAACCAUGUAAACCAGGGACCAAGGGAUGUACCUACCACUCCUUACCCUUGCCCGGAAUAAGGCCCCCUUGGUACAAACAAGCAGAUUAGCGGAUGGAUAGGUGCGACACUGUAUUACUGCCUUUUGCCCCGUACUUGCUGUUUCUUAGCAUUUACACAGCACCUUCACGUUUUCAAAGCACUGUACCAAUGUUUAUUAAUCCUCACAACACCCCUGUGAGGUAGGUAGGUCAGUAUGUCCUUUGUAGUAGAGAAACUGAGGCAGACAGAGGUCAAGCGAACCAAACCUGCCUAGUCCACAAGGGCAGCCGGCGAAGGGACUGCACCGGAGUCCCGAAGCCAGGGCUCUCUGUCCCGUUCAUCCACUGGUGAGCAUCGCGUGGGCGUCUUCUCACCAGUGAAAGGUGGACAGACAGGAGGACCAAACACACAGAUUUCUCAGGCAAACGGGGGGGGGGGGGGGGGGGGGGGGGUAGUACAAACGACAUCAGGGAAUAACCAGGGAACAACGCCAGUGAAAGAGAGAAACGUGAACCAGCACACCAGUAAGGCAAGAGAACAUGCUGGAGAGCAAGGCUGGGAUCGUGGUGACUACUCAGAAGACCUAGACCGGGGGGGGGGGGGGGGGGGG
Felis catus (domestic cat) is the source of this 1452-nucleotide long non-coding RNA. RefSeq lists it as uncharacterized. Lineage: Eukaryota; Metazoa; Chordata; Mammalia; Carnivora; Felidae. The transcript has 2 exons. The record is from RefSeq and is a predicted model, not a curated record.